UACGGAGGGUGCAAACGUUGCUCGGAAUCAUUGGGCGUAAAGCGCACGUAGGUGGCCUGUUAAGUCGGGUGUGAAAGCCCUCGGCUCAACCGAGGAAGUGCAUUCGAAACUAGCAGGCUUGAGUAUGGAAGAGGGUCGUGGAAUUCCCGGUGUAGAGGUGAAAUUCGUAGAUAUCGGGAGGAACACCAGUGGCGAAGGCGGCGACCUGGGCCAAUACUGACACUGAGGUGCGAAAGCGUGGGGAGCAAACAGG
Molecule: ribosomal RNA, 253 nt
Filed under: uncultured bacterium
Lineage: Bacteria
Description: partial 16S ribosomal RNA
Rfam family: Bacterial small subunit ribosomal RNA
Source: RNAcentral